UUUUUUUUUUUUUUUUUUUUUUUUUUUUUUUUUUUUUUUUUUUUUUUUUUUUUUCCCCCCACAGCAUCUUUUUUUUUUUUUUUUUUUUUUUUUUUUUUUUUUUUUAAGAUUUUGGGUUUUGUUUCCAAUAUUAAGUUAUUUUAAAUUGUGGUUGAAGCAAUAGAAAAUUGAAAUAUGGAUUGUGCAUGACUGUGUCUUGAGUGUAAAAAUAUUGCAGUUUGAAACUUGGACCUAAAGUAUUGCAAAUAAAAGUUAUAAAUACCA
Tympanuchus pallidicinctus (lesser prairie-chicken) is the source of this 264-nucleotide long non-coding RNA. RefSeq lists it as uncharacterized. The record is from RefSeq and is a predicted model, not a curated record. Lineage: Eukaryota; Metazoa; Chordata; Aves; Galliformes; Phasianidae. The transcript has 2 exons.